UACGGGUCACGUGACCCGCUCUUUGCAGGCCUUAACGGGAGCACGAAGGGCUUUAUUAGCAGUCGGCAUAGCUAAUUUAAUUAUAGUCAUUUUAUUAUCUCUGCGUCAAGCAACUAAUUUAUGACAAAAUCGACCACCUUCACGUCAAAUGAAAAUUACUUAGUAUUAGGUGUACCAGACUUGGAUCCUCUUGUAAGAUUGUCUCAACACACGCAAAGCCCAUUACACAGAUGAUUACUCAGUCUAGCGGGGUGGACGUUAUGGCCGAUGAGAUAACAUUGAAGCUGCCGUUCCAGCAAUCCAUAGUCAUUUCCGAAGAGCUGGACCGCCCACCUCUUGAUGUAAUAAGCGCAGUGGCACCCCCUGGCGGUGCACAGCGAUACUGCACUGAACAAACCGAGGAGUCCUCCGUCCCCAUUCACCCUGAGAGCUCAGUGAUGGAUGAGAAGCUUCGAUCGAUUGAGCAGCAACUUCAGUACCUUCUAAACAAGGCCGAUAAAUUACAGGCUCACCUGAGAAACGGAUGUGACCGUUUGCAGAAGGAGAGCCUUGCCCAGGCUGUUCCCAUAUUCUUACGCACAUGCCAGCCCUGGUUCGCCUACCUGGAGUCCGCAGCUCGCAGUUGCCUUCCACAACGUGCACCUCUUCCGCCCUACAUUCGCACCCAGCUGUUGCAGUUCUCUCAGCAGCUGUGCACUCGACUCGAGCAGCUCGUGUUGAUGUACGCCUCUGUGAAUUUCCUGUCUGUGGAGGAGACUGAGCCAUCCAGUGUAUCCCAUUUCUACGUCGGCCAGUGUCAGCUGAACACAGUCACGGUGUCCAUAUUCCGUUACUGCCGCCCUGCUCUCUUCCGGGUUAGGCCCAGGGCAGGGGGCAACCUCUAUAAACGCAUGCGCUGGAAUGUGGAGAGGCCAAGAGAGUGGCCUAAAGAGGCAGAGGGCCAGCAGGGCGAAUAUACAGGGAUAGGGAAAGGGGACAGUGAGGACACUGAAUUUUAUUUUCUGUGCUAUGAGGACGUAGCUCCGAUGCAGCCUGAGAUGCACAGCAAGAGGGGGGAUGGGAAAGAGAUGGAGCCAGAGGCUGGCCAUUCUGUUGGAAGGUGGUCUAUCGGGCAGUGGGUGCAAACGGACCCCGAUCCCGUGAAUGCAGACCUUUUUGACUGGCUACUCUGUCCAACACCUCAGGGACGAUACAAACUGCUACUCCACCUGGGCACAGAGGAGCCUUCAACCUGCACUGCCACAGACUACCUCUUGGGGGCGCUAUUUUCCAUGGAGGGUCCAGGAGAGUGUUCCGCAGCCUUGGGCCACACAGCCCACGCCUGAGCCACAUCUCAAAGAUACGUUUCACCCGGACAGGAUUGUCAUUCCUGGUCAUUGGUGAGGCAUUUGGUUGCAGUCCAUGUUUUUUCAGAUGGUGCAGAGAACAGAUGUCGGGGACUGCAGGACCGCAGACUGAGUAUUGUGCUGCUGCUGCACCAGCUCCUGCUGCCACUGUAGGAUCUGCUGCCGGUGCUUGAGCUCCUGCUGCUGGUGUUGGAACUGGAGCUGAAGGAGGUCCUGACGCUGCUUCUCCAGCUUCCUCCGCUGCUCCCGCCACAGCUUUUCCUCAUCUUCCUCCUCAUUCUCCUCCUCCUCCAGCUCCCUGAGCUCAGCCUCAAGCUCCAGCUGCUUGCGCCUGUCACGGUUUUGCUGCUCCUGCCGCUCCUGGAUUUGCUGCAGAUGCUUCUGGUGCUGCUCCAGUCUGCGCAGCUGCAGAUUGGGCUGUGCCUGCGGUGUUCUGGACUGUAGGUCGGUGGGCUGCUGGGCCGGGCUCAGGUGAGCUGACGGAGGCUGACUGUAGGUUUUCCAUGCUACAGAGCCCACGUGAUUGGCCUGUGAUUGGGUUGGCGGUGGCUGCUGAUUGGACUGGAGCUCACAGCCUCCUGUGAGAGAGGCAACAUCACUUGAGACUCGUUAAAGAUACAAUGAGAGAUGACUGGGUGGAGCUAUGGGUGGCAUGGAAGAAAAAAUAAAUAUCAAGAAAAGGGAAUAUGAGUUGGGACAAGACGUAGCUGUAAAGCAAUUGCAUGAGGUGAAUAUAGAUACUAAUUGGCACCAUAGCCAAUUGGGGUAAAAAUCUAUGGCCAAUUUGAGCUAAAUACAACAUAAAAUCA
Brienomyrus brachyistius is the source of this 2155-nucleotide RNA transcript. It is a transcript of the gene named chromosome 5 C19orf67 homolog, with no coding region annotated. NCBI's taxonomy places the organism in Eukaryota, Metazoa, Chordata, Actinopteri, Osteoglossiformes, Mormyridae. The transcript is spliced from 9 exons. The record is from RefSeq and is a predicted model, not a curated record.